RNAcentral lists this ribosomal RNA (433 nucleotides) under uncultured bacterium. RNAcentral's name for it is "partial 16S ribosomal RNA". It matches the Rfam family "Bacterial small subunit ribosomal RNA", at positions 29 to 507 of the family's 1533-position model. The record is from RNAcentral.
AACGAACGCUGGCGGCAUGCCUAACACAUGCAAGUCGAACGAGACCUUCGGGUCUAGUGGCGCACGGGUGCGUAACGCGUGGGAACCUGCCCUUAGGUUCGGAAUAACUCCCCGAAAGGGGUGCUAAUACCGGAUAAUGUCUUCGGACCAAAGAUUUAUCGCCUUUGGAUGGGCGCGCGUUGGAUUAGCUAGUUGGUAGGGUACAAGCCUACCAAGGCGACGAUCCAUAGCUGGUCUGAUAGGAGGAUCAGCCACAAUGGGACUGAGACCCGGCCCAGACCCCUACGGGAGGGAGGAGUGGGGAACAUUGGACAAGGGGCGAAGACGUAAUCCAGCAAUGCCGGGGAAGAGGGGAAGGCGUUAGGGUUGUAAAGCUCUUUGACCCGGAAUGAGAAUGACAGUACCGGGUAAAUAAGCACCGGCUAACUCCGUG